RNAcentral lists this long non-coding RNA (369 nucleotides) under Elaeis guineensis (African oil palm). Its description in RNAcentral is "long non-coding RNA (EGUI_LNC009957)". The record is from RNAcentral. Lineage: Eukaryota; Viridiplantae; Streptophyta; Magnoliopsida; Arecales; Arecaceae.
CGAGGGAUUAUCAUGGAGGAUAGUGAUCGAUCCAUUUAGAUCGGUGUAUGGAUCGCUUUCCUUCCAGAUAGAUGAGUCUCAAAUCUGCAGUGUAGAGACACUGGGAUGAAAGUGCAGGUGGUUAUUAUAGAAUAACUUACAGUGAGCGUGACUAACACGAGAAAUUACUUGGAUAUCUACUCACUCGUCAAUGGUUUACUUGAUGCUACAGUGGUGUGAGUGAUCUUUUGACCUGCAGUAUCUCAACUAUUUGCAGUGAGGCUACUAUAGUUUGAUUACACAUAAACUUGAAUUUUUAGCCAUUUCGAUCCUUACGGUGUAUGUUGACUAUAGUGGGUUCAGAUUUACUGCUAGAAGUAGGAUGCAACU